UGAGAAACCUGUCCCGGUCUCUGGAAUAACAGUCGGAAACGACUGCUAAUACCGGAUGCCGUCGGAGCGUCGCAUGGCGCGCUGACGAAAGGGCUACCGGAUCGGGAGGGUCUCGCGGCCUAUCAGCUUGUUGGUGAGGUAACGGCUUACCAAGGCAUCGACGGGUAGCUGGUCUGAGAGGAUGAUCAGCCACACUGGGACUGAGACACGGCCCAGACUCCGUAGGGAG
Molecule: ribosomal RNA, 229 nt
Filed under: uncultured bacterium
Lineage: Bacteria
Description: partial 16S ribosomal RNA
Rfam family: Bacterial small subunit ribosomal RNA
Source: RNAcentral